RNAcentral lists this ribosomal RNA (495 nucleotides) under uncultured bacterium. RNAcentral's name for it is "partial 16S ribosomal RNA". It matches the Rfam family "Bacterial small subunit ribosomal RNA", at positions 28 to 507 of the family's 1533-position model. The record is from RNAcentral.
GAUGAACGCUGGCGGCGUGCCUAAUACAUGCAAGUAGAACGCUGAAGGAGGAGCUUGCUCUUCUGGAUGAGUUGCGAACGGGUGAGUAACGCGUAGGUAACCUGCCUGGUAGCGGGGGAUAACUAUUGGAAACGAUAGCUAAUACCGCAUGACAACAGUUAUUGCAUGAUAACUGUUUAAAAGGGGCAACUGCUCCACUACCAGAUGGACCUGCGUUGUAUUAGCUAGUUGGUGAGGUAACGGCUCACCAAGGCGACGGUACAUAGCCGAGCUGAGAGGGUGAUCGGCCAAACUGGGACUGAGACACGGCCCAGACUUCUACGGGAGGCAGCAGUAGGGGAACAUCGGCAAUGGACGGAAGGCUGACCGAGCAACGCCGCGUGAGUGAAGAAGGGUGUCGGGUCGGUAAGCUCUGUUGUAAGAGAAGGACGAGUGGGAGGGUGGAAAGUUCACGCUGUGACGGUAUCUUACCAGAAAGGGACGGCUAACUACGUG